GAUGAACGCUGGCGGCGUGCCUAAUACAUGCAAGUCGAGCGAACAGACGAGGAGCUUGCUCCUCUGACGUUAGCGGCGGACGGGUGAGUAACACGUGGAUAACCUACCUAUAAGACUGGGAUAACUUCGGGAAACCGGAGCUAAUACCGGAUAAUAUAUUGAACCGCAUGGUUCAAUAGUGAAAGACGGUUUUGCUGUCACUUAUAGAUGGAUCCGCGCCGCAUUAGCUAGUUGGUAAGGUAACGGCUUACCAAGGCAACGAUGCGUAGCCGACCUGAGAGGGUGCAGGCCAACUGUGAAACAGACACCGGGACGGGCCCCACAGGGAGGGCACAAUGGGGAAUUCUUCCGCAAGGGGCAAAACCCGGAAGGCGAAACGCGGGGGGAGAGAGAAGGGUCUAGGAAUCUAAAACCUUUUUUAUGGGGAAAAAAAAAAUUGGAAGGAAACUAUCCGGUUCUGCAGGGUCCUAAAAAAAAAAGCAGCGCAAAACUACGC
Molecule: ribosomal RNA, 496 nt
Filed under: uncultured bacterium
Lineage: Bacteria
Description: partial 16S ribosomal RNA
Rfam family: Bacterial small subunit ribosomal RNA
Source: RNAcentral